RNAcentral lists this long non-coding RNA (236 nucleotides) under Eucalyptus grandis. Its description in RNAcentral is "long non-coding RNA (EGRA_LNC005647)". The record is from RNAcentral. Lineage: Eukaryota; Viridiplantae; Streptophyta; Magnoliopsida; Myrtales; Myrtaceae.
UUUUGGUAUUUAAUUCCAAAAAUUGUGAAUUUCCAAUAUUUAUUCAGAAAAUCCUAGGUGUCGGGUUUUGACACCGAAAAUGGUUUUUAGUACUAUAUGAAAUAGUGGGAUUUCAAAAAGGAGGAAUAUCAAUUUUUUGGAUCAAGUUGACCGUGUACCCACACACGAGUAAUUUCAUGUGAAUUUCUAAUACGAAGAAAAAGGCCAAGCUCACCAUUUUAAUUGAAGCAUUUGAG